UGCCAGCAGCCGCGGUAACACGUAAGUGGCAAGCGUUGUUCGGAUUUAUUGGGCGUAAAGGGCGCGUAGGCGGUUUAUCAAGCUUGAUGUGAAAGACCCCGGCUUAACCGGGGGAACGCGUUGAGAACUGUUAGACUAGAGUAUAAGAGGGGGAGUUGGAAUUCCUAGUGUAGGGGUGAAAUCUGUAGAUAUUAGGAAGAACACCGGUGGCGAAGGCGAACUCCUGGCUAUAUACUGACGCUGAGGCGCGAAAGUGUGGGGAGCGAACAGGAUUAGAUA
Molecule: ribosomal RNA, 279 nt
Filed under: uncultured bacterium
Lineage: Bacteria
Description: partial 16S ribosomal RNA
Rfam family: Bacterial small subunit ribosomal RNA
Source: RNAcentral